AGCAGCCGCCACGGUAAUACGGAGGGUGCAAGCGUUAAUCGGAAUUACUGGGCGUAAAGCGCACGCAGGCGGUCUGACAAGUCAGAUGUGAAAUCCCCGGGCUUAACCUGGGAACUGCAUUUGAAACUGUCAGGCUGGAGUCUUGUAGAGGGGGGUGGAAUUCCAGGUGUAGCGGUGAAAUGCGUAGAGAUCUGGAGGAAUACCGGUGGCGAAGGCGGCCCCCUGGACAAAGACUGACGCUCAGGUGCGAAAGCGUGGGGAGCAAACAGGAUUAGAUACCCCGGUAGUCCCUGUCUCUUAUAC
RNAcentral lists this ribosomal RNA (303 nucleotides) under uncultured bacterium. Its description in RNAcentral is "partial 16S ribosomal RNA". It matches the Rfam family "Bacterial small subunit ribosomal RNA", at positions 507 to 807 of the family's 1533-position model. The record is from RNAcentral.